GACGAACGCUGGCGGCGGGCUUAACACAUGCAAGUCGAACGGAAAGGCCCUGCUUUUGUGGGGUGCUCGAGGGGCGAACGGGUGAGUAACACGUGAGUAACCUGCCCUUGACUUUGGGAUAACUUCAGGAAACGGGGGCUAAUACCGGAUAGGAGCUCCUGCUGCAGGGAGGGGGUGGGAAAGUUUCGGCGGGUGGGGAUGGACUCGCGGCUGAUCAGCUUGUUGGUGGGGUAGUGGCUUACCAAGGCUUUGACGGGUAGGCGGCCUGGGAGGGUGACCGGCCACAUUGGGCCUGCGAUACGGCCCAGACUCCUACGGGAGGCAGCAGUGGGGAAUCUUGUCCAAUGGGCGGACGCCUGAUGCAGAAACGCCGCGUGCGGGAUGACGGCCUUCGGGUUGUAAACCGCUUUCGCCUGUGACGACGCGUGAGUGACGGUAAUGGGUAAAGAAGCACCGGCUAACUACGUG
RNAcentral lists this ribosomal RNA (468 nucleotides) under uncultured bacterium. Its description in RNAcentral is "partial 16S ribosomal RNA". It matches the Rfam family "Bacterial small subunit ribosomal RNA", at positions 28 to 507 of the family's 1533-position model. The record is from RNAcentral.